CUUCGUGGGCGGAGCCUCCUUCGUGUCCCGGGUCCGGGCGCCUAGCUCCCCCAGCACCAGGCAGGAAGCGGCGGCCCCGCGGACCUCGGACCGCUCAGCCUCUCCCAGGCCCACAGCCCCGAAUCGAGCCCCCGGCCCGGGGCGUCCUCGAGAG
This 154-nucleotide long non-coding RNA is filed under the name Prolemur simus (greater bamboo lemur). Its description in RNAcentral is "TP53 target 1 conserved region 2 (ENSPSMG00000015199.1)". It matches the Rfam family "TP53 target 1 conserved region 2". Lineage: Eukaryota; Metazoa; Chordata; Mammalia; Primates; Lemuridae. The record is from RNAcentral.